This 66-nucleotide transfer RNA is filed under the name Rhagio tringarius. RNAcentral describes it as "tRNA-Tyr". Lineage: Eukaryota; Metazoa; Arthropoda; Insecta; Diptera; Rhagionidae. The record is from RNAcentral.
GGUUAAAUGACUGAAAAGAGGUAAUAGACUGUAAAUCUAUUUAUGAGAUAUAUUUCUCUUUAACCA